RNAcentral lists this ribosomal RNA (460 nucleotides) under uncultured bacterium. Its description in RNAcentral is "partial 16S ribosomal RNA". It matches the Rfam family "Bacterial small subunit ribosomal RNA", at positions 338 to 795 of the family's 1533-position model. The record is from RNAcentral.
CCUACGGGUGGCAGCAGUGAGGAAUAUUGGUCAAUGGACGGAAGUCUGAACCAGCCAUGCCGCGUGCAGGAAGACGGCUCUCUGAGUUGUAAACUUCUUUUGUACAAGGGUAAACCUCAAUACGUGCAUUGAGAUGAAAGUACUGUACGAAUACGGAUCGGCUAAAUCCGUGCCAGCAGCCGCGGUAAUACGGAGGAUGCGAGCGUUAUCCGGAUUUAUUGGGUUUAAAGGGUGCGUAGGUGGGAAAGUAAGUCAGAAGGGAAAGUUUGUGUGUCAACCCUAAAAUUGCCGUUGAAACUGGUUGACUUGAGUGUAGUAGAGGUAGGCGGAAUGCGUGGUGUAGCGGCGAAAUGCAGAGAUAUCACGCAGAACACCGAUGGCGAAGGCAGCUUACUGGGCUAUAACUGACGCUGAGGCACGAAAGCGUGGGGAUCAAACAGGAUUAGAUACCCCAGUAGUC